RNAcentral lists this ribosomal RNA (661 nucleotides) under uncultured Hyphomicrobiales bacterium. RNAcentral describes it as "bacterial SSU rRNA". It matches the Rfam family "Bacterial small subunit ribosomal RNA", at positions 94 to 792 of the family's 1533-position model. Lineage: Bacteria; Pseudomonadati; Pseudomonadota; Alphaproteobacteria; Hyphomicrobiales. The record is from RNAcentral.
AGUGGCAGACGGGUGAGUAAUGUAUAGGAAUCUACCUAGUAGUACGGAAUAAUUGUUGGAAACGGCAACUAAUGCCGUAUACGCCCUACGGGGGAAAAAUUUAUUGCUAUUAGAUGAGCCUAUAUUAGAUUAGUUAGUUGGUGAGGUAAAGGCUUACCAAGACAAUGAUCUAUAGCUGAUCUGAGAGGAUGAUCAGCCACACUGGAACUGAGAUACGGUCCAGACUCCUACGGGAGGCAGCAGUGGGGAAUAUUGGACAAUGGGCGAAAGCCUGAUCCAGCCAUGCCGCAUGAGUGAAGAAGGCCUUCGGGUUGUAAAGCUCUUUUAGUGAGGAAGAUAAUGACGGUACUCACAGAAGAAGUCCUGGCUAACUCCGUGCCAGCAGCCGCGGUAAUACGGAGAGGGCUAGCGUUAUUCGGAAUCAUUGGGCGUAAAGGGCGCGUAGGCGGGUUAGUAAGUUAAAAGUGAAAUCCCAAGGCUCAACCUUGGAACUGCUUUUAAAACUGCUAGUCUAGAGAUUGAGAGGAUAGAGGAAUUCCUAGUGUANAGAUGAAAUUCGUAAAUAUUANGAGGAACACCAGUGGCGAANGCGUCUAUCUGGUUCAAAUCUGACGCUGAGGCGCGNANGCGUGGGGAGCAAACAGGAUUAGAUACCCNGGUA